Molecule: transfer RNA, 76 nt
Filed under: uncultured Paludibacter sp.
Lineage: Bacteria; Pseudomonadati; Bacteroidota; Bacteroidia; Bacteroidales; Paludibacteraceae
Description: tRNA-Pro
Rfam family: tRNA
About the family: Transfer RNA (tRNA) molecules are approximately 80 nucleotides in length.
Source: RNAcentral
CGGGAUGUGGCGCAGUUGGUAGCGCGCUACGUUCGGGACGUAGAGGUCGCAGGUUCGAAUCUUGUCAUCCCGACUA